GGGGAAUAUUGGACAAUGGGCGAAAGCCUGAUCCAGCCAUGCCGCGUGAGUGAUGAAGGCCUUAGGGUUGUAAAGCUCUUUUAGCAGGGAAGAUAAUGACGGUACCUGCAGAAAAAGCCCCGGCUAACUUCGUGCCAGCAGCCGCGGUAAUACGAAGGGGGCUAGCGUUGCUCGGAAUUACUGGGCGUAAAGCGCACGUAGGCGGACUCUUAAGUCGGUGGUGAAGUCCUGGAGCUCGACUCCAGAACUGCCUUCGAUACUGGGAGCCUUGAGUUCGGGAGAUGUGAGUGGAACUUCGAGUGUAGAGGUGAAAUUCGUAGAUAUUCGCAAGAACACCAGUGGCGAAGGCGGCUCACUGGCCCGAUACUGGCGCUGAGGUGCGAAAGCGUGGGGAGCAAACA
RNAcentral lists this ribosomal RNA (401 nucleotides) under uncultured bacterium. Its description in RNAcentral is "bacterial SSU rRNA". It matches the Rfam family "Bacterial small subunit ribosomal RNA", at positions 356 to 774 of the family's 1533-position model. The record is from RNAcentral.